This 216-nucleotide long non-coding RNA is filed under the name Gossypium raimondii (Peruvian cotton). Its description in RNAcentral is "long non-coding RNA (GRAI_LNC000068)". Lineage: Eukaryota; Viridiplantae; Streptophyta; Magnoliopsida; Malvales; Malvaceae. The record is from RNAcentral.
UCUCAAAGUCAGCAUUUGCUUGAGGUACCCCAUUGUCAUCAAGCACCGUGGAGGGAGGAGGAACAGUGUGUAAAUCAAGAAAGCUUUGCAGUUUAUAAGCCUUUACUGCAAAUAGAAUUUGUUGUCGCCACAACAGAUAGUUAGAGUCAUCAAGAAGAACACUAACCUUCUUGGUUGAGAAGAACCUACUAUCAAUAACACCAGUAGACAAAUGAG